Molecule: ribosomal RNA, 253 nt
Filed under: uncultured bacterium
Lineage: Bacteria
Description: partial 16S ribosomal RNA
Rfam family: Bacterial small subunit ribosomal RNA
Source: RNAcentral
UACGCAGGGGGCUAGCGUUGCUCGGAAUCACUGGGCGUAAAGCGCACGUAGGCGGCUUUUUAAGUCAGGGGUGAAAUCCUGGAGCUCAACUCCAGAACUGCCCUUGAUACUGAGAGGCUUGAGUCCGGGAGAGGUGAGUGGAAUUCCCAGUGUAGAGGUGAAAUUCGUAGAUAUUGGGAAGAACACCGGUGGCGAAGGCGGCUCACUGGCCCGGUACUGACGCUGAGGUGCGAAAGCGUGGGGAGCAAACAGG